Molecule: ribosomal RNA, 680 nt
Filed under: Prevotella nigrescens
Lineage: Bacteria; Pseudomonadati; Bacteroidota; Bacteroidia; Bacteroidales; Prevotellaceae
Description: bacterial SSU rRNA
Rfam family: Bacterial small subunit ribosomal RNA
Source: RNAcentral
AUUGAACGCUGGCGGCAGGCCUAACACAUGCAAGUCGAACGGCAACACAAAGGAGCUUGCUUCUUGGAUGACGAGUGGCGGACGGGCGAGGAAUGCUUCGGAAUCUACUCUGUCGUGGGGGAUAACGUAGGGAAACUUUAGCUAAUACCGCAUACAACCUACGGGUGAAAGCGGGGGAUCUUCGGACCUUGCGCGAUUGAAUGAGCCGAUGUGGGAUUAGCUAGUUGGCGGGGUAAAGGCCCACCAAGGCGACCAUCCGUAGCUGGUCUGAUAGGAUGAUCAACCACACUGGAACUGAUACACGGUCCACACUCCUACGGGAAGCUGUGUGGGGGAAUAUUGAACAAUGGGUGCAACCCUGAUCCUCCCCUACCGCGUGGGUGAUAAAUGCCUUCGGGUUGUAAAGCCCUUAUGUUGGGAAAGAAAACCCUUCAGCUUAACCGUGGAUGGGAUGACGGUCCCCAAAGAAUAAGCACCGGAUAACUUCGUGCCCCAUCCGCGGAAAUACGAAAGGUGCAACCGUUACUCGCAUUUUCUGGGCGAUCAGAGUACGCCUGCGUGAUUUAAAACAGUUGUGAAAUCCCGGGGCUCUCCCUGAAAUUAACUUUAUACCUGUGAUUAACGUGGUUAGCGUGUGUUUAGCUUCUGGGGCGAGUUAACAGUGAUUCAUCCCGGGAGGC